UACGAAGGGGGCUAGCGUUGUUCGGAAUUACUGGGCGUAAAGGGCGCGUAGGCGGCCUUGUGAGUCGAGUGUGAAAGCCCUGGGCUUAACCCGGGAAGCGCGCUUGAUACUGCAGGGCUUGAGUGUGGGAGAGGAUGAUGGAAUUCCCAGUGUAGAGGUGAAAUUCGUAGAUAUUGGGAAGAACACCGGUGGCGAAGGCGGCUAUCUGGACCGACAUUGACGCUGAGGCGCGAAAGCGUGGGGAGCAAGCAGG
RNAcentral lists this ribosomal RNA (253 nucleotides) under uncultured bacterium. RNAcentral's name for it is "partial 16S ribosomal RNA". It matches the Rfam family "Bacterial small subunit ribosomal RNA", at positions 524 to 776 of the family's 1533-position model. The record is from RNAcentral.